This 1024-nucleotide long non-coding RNA is filed under the name Phascolarctos cinereus (koala). RNAcentral describes it as "lncRNA (ENSPCIG00000033904.1)". Lineage: Eukaryota; Metazoa; Chordata; Mammalia; Diprotodontia; Phascolarctidae. The record is from RNAcentral.
CAAAAAAGAAGUGCUAAGCACCUACCAGGUGCCAAAGGAAAGAAUCCCUAAAAGGUUGCUGCUGUGCAUCCUUCAUUUGGAAGAGGCCCUGGAGGUGACAGCCUAAUGAGGGCGCAAUGCAAAGUAACUGGGGGAGGGGUGACACCCAGGAUUACAGGAAUUGGGAAAGACCUUGGCACUUGAAUUGAGCCCUGAAGGAUCAAGGUCGUACAGAGAGAGCUGAGAAGGACUGGAAAGGUCAUCUAGUCCAGCGCCCCCAUUGUACAGACAAAGAAAGUGAGGACCACGGAGGGUCAAUACUUGCCCAAGAUCACACCAGAGCUAGGGAUUCCAAAUUUCUAGUUUAACGUCCAUGUCAGUUCUACCUGUCAGGCAGGUAACAAGCAUUUAUUAAGCACCUACGUGUAGCAGGUACUGCCCUAAGCAGCUUUGAACAGAGAUCAGAACAAACCAGUAAAUGAAACUCAGCAGCUGCUGGCAAGGGUUUCCUUCCCUUCAGCUUCCACUUGGGAAGCCACUGCAAAUACAUCCUUGCGAAUGGAGUAUGAGCAUGUGUCUGACCAAAUCUGCCGUAAGAGAACGCCAGGAUACUGCUCACUACCACGCUGCCCUGCAUGAGCGCUGUGCUAAGCCCCGGAGAUAAAGCAAAGGCAGUCUCUGCCCUCAAGAAGCUCCCAGUCUAGGGGAGAGACGACCUGCAAACAAUGCCGUGCCGCCUCCAAAGCCGGAGCUGGUUUGACUGCGUCAUGCUGACUCCCCAAGGUCACCCCGGUUAAGAAGUAAGUCACAGGGCCAGAUAGAGAGCUGGGUCCUUUGAUUCCCCAUUCAGUGGAUUUUCCAGUACUCUACAAGGACCUUAGUAGACAUCUAUGGUUUUAUAGUGAAAAAGGCCGGCUCCGGGGCUACCCGGAUAGCUCUCAUGGGUGGAGUCCAAGAAGGCAAGAUCCCCCACCCCCUCUGCCCCGGACAGUGACCAACAGCAGUCAAGGAGAGUGGAGCCCCUUGUGGUUUGGAGGCCCUGGGC